UACGGAGGGGGCUAGCGUUGUUCGGAAUUACUGGGCGUAAAGCGCACGUAGGCGGCUUGGAAAGUUGGAGGUGAAAGCCCAGAGCUUAACUCUGGAACUGCCUUCAAAACUCCCAAGCUAGAGUUCGGAAGAGGAGAGUGGAAUUCCCAGUGUAGAGGUGAAAUUCGUAGAUAUUGGGAAGAACACCAGUGGCGAAGGCGGCUCUCUGGUCCGAUACUGACGCUGAGGUGCGAAAGCGUGGGGAGCAAAC
RNAcentral lists this ribosomal RNA (250 nucleotides) under uncultured bacterium. RNAcentral's name for it is "partial 16S ribosomal RNA". It matches the Rfam family "Bacterial small subunit ribosomal RNA", at positions 524 to 773 of the family's 1533-position model. The record is from RNAcentral.